This is an RNA transcript of Physeter macrocephalus (sperm whale), 1790 nucleotides long. It is a transcript of the gene named tumor susceptibility 101, with no coding region annotated. Lineage: Eukaryota; Metazoa; Chordata; Mammalia; Artiodactyla; Physeteridae. The transcript has 12 exons. The record is from RefSeq and is a predicted model, not a curated record.
GGGGGGGGGGGCCGGCUCCGCGGUGUGAGACUGUGUGUGGCAGCCUGGGGCAGCCCCGGAGCGGCUGACCCUCUGCCUGUGGGGACGGGUGUCGGGAGGCGGCUGCCAUGGCGGGGUCGGAGAGCCAGCUCAAGAAAAUGGUGUCCAAGUACAAAUACAGAGACCUAACUGUACGUGAAACUGUCAGUGUUAUUACUUUAUACAAAGAUCUCAAACCUGUAUUGGAUUCAUAUGUUUUUAAUGAUGGCAGUUCCAGGGAACUGAUGAACCUCACUGGAACGAUUCCUGUGCCUUAUAGAGGUACUACAUAUAAUAUUCCAAUAUGCCUGUGGCUGCUGGACACAUACCCAUAUAAUCCCCCUAUCUGUUUUGUUAAGCCUACUAGUUCAAUGACUAUUAAAACAGGAAAGCAUGUGGAUGCUAACGGGAAGAUAUAUCUUCCUUAUCUACAUGAAUGGAAACACCCACAGUCAGACUUGUUGGGCCUUAUUCAAGUUAUGAUUGUGGUGUUUGGAGAAGAACCUCCAGUCUUUUCUCGUCCUACUAUUUCAGCAUCCUAUCCACCAUACCAGGCAACAGGGCCACCAAAUACUUAUCAAGUUAGUGGAUUUUUUGGAGGUAUUCUGAGGCCCCACAUCUGCAUGUACAGAUUCCCAACAAAGACUGGCAUUUGGGCUUUCGUUUCUUCCUACAUGCCAGGCAUGCCAAGUGGAAUUUCUGCAUACCCAUCCGGAUACCCUCCCAAUCCCAGUGGUUACCCAGGCUGUCCUUACCCACCUGGCAGUCAGUAUCCUGCCACAACAAGUUCCCAGUACCCUUCCCAGCCUCCUGUGACCACUGUUGGUCCCAGUAGGGAUGGCACAAUCAGCGAGGACACUAUCCGAGCCUCUCUCAUCUCAGCAGUCAGUGACAAACUGAGAUGGCGGAUGAAGGAGGAAAUGGAUCGUGCCCAGGCAGAGCUCAAUGCCUUGAAACGAACAGAGGAAGACCUGAAAAAAGGUCACCAGAAACUGGAAGAGAUGGUUACCCGUUUAGAUCAAGAAGUAGCUGAGGUUGAUAAAAACAUAGAACUUUUGAGAAAGAAGGAUGAAGAACUCAGUUCUGCUCUGGAGAAAAUGGAAAAUCAGUCUGAAAACAAUGAUAUUGAUGAAGUUAUCAUUCCCACAGCCCCACUAUACAAACAGAUCCUAAAUCUGUAUGCAGAGGAAAAUGCUAUUGAAGACACUAUCUUUUACCUGGGAGAAGCCUUGAGGCGGGGAGUAAUAGACCUGGACGUCUUCCUGAAGGAUCACAGUACAAGUUUCCCUGCCAUCUUGGUUGUCUCAAGUGCAGCUUGAACUCCUGAGCCAGAUCCUGCAAUGUGGUGCUUUCCCUGUGAAGAAGGCCUUUGUAUAGGGUCUCAGAAGACUACUUUCCUUAACACAACCUGCCAGCAUCAAUCCACAUGUACGUCUUCUGUCCCGUAAACAGUUCCAGCUGAGGGCGCUAAUGCAGAAAGCAAGAAAGACUGCCGGUCUCAGUGACCUCUACUGACUCCUCUGAUACCAGCUGGAGAUUGAGCUCUUCUAAAGCAUUCUUUCCUUCUCUUCCUUUCUCUUAUAUCAGUAGGUGCCCAGAAUAAGUUAUUGCAGUUUAUCAUUCAAGUGUAAAAUAUUUUGAAUCAAUAAUAUAUUUUCUGUUUGUUUUCUUUUGGUAAAGACUGGCUUUUAUUAAUGCACUUUCUAUCCUCUGUAAACUCUUUUUGUGCUGAAUGUUGGGACUGACUAUGCUAAAUAAAAUUUGUUGCAUAA